AAAAAACAAAACAAACACAUAAAAUAUUAGCGAAAGUCUCUCAUCUAAUGAGAAGCACAUAGAGCUGAUAAACAUAAAAAUCGAAACUUUAUUUAUCUUUGUUGUUCUCUUUGGGUCACAAUAGACCGGCCCAUUAGCCUAGUCACACCGGCCCAUUAGCCCAGUCAACUCCAUUGUAGAAGAGAGGACUUGAUUUUGGGUGAGAUUGAGAGAGAGAAGAAGAGAAUCGUCAAGUGUUUAUGGUGGUGAAAGUUAUAAGAAUCGUUAAAUUUGACGAAAGGGUACGUAAAAGAACUUCCUUUUUGAUGAUUUAUCUAUAUAUUAGACGUAAUUGAUUGUUUCUGAUUUAAGUAUCGUGGCAUUGUGAAAAAUUUGAUAGGCACGAGACUAUGCACACCAGUUGCUCGACGAAUUGUCUAACUAAGAUAUUCUUUCUCUAAAUCUGCUUUUUUUUUUUUGUUUGGUUCUUUAAUUAUGUUUUUGCUGUUAACUGUUCGAAUUUGUGAUCAUACCCUUUAGAUUAUUAGAAUCAUAUCUUCUCUAGUGAUAUGUGUGUGAAUGAAUCAAUGAUAAAAGACUCUCCUUUUUCUUAAUCAAACUGUGCUUUGUACGUAAUUUUUAUCUAUUAUAUUCUCAUGACAUUUUGAUCCACUUGUGAUCAGCACAAGAUCAGUAUAAAGUUGAAGUUGAUCAAUUUGUGGAGCAUGGAUCCUGAAUAUACCGACGAUUUAUUAAACCAUUUGGAGAAGCAAACUGAAUUGCUUUUAGAAACUCGUAAAACGAUGACUCAAGAACUCCAAACACUUGAGGUGGAAGAAGAGAUGAUGAUGCGGAAAUUCUAUGAGUUAAUGUCUAGACAGCGCUUAAAUAAGAAGAAAAUGGAGAAGACUCAAAAUGUGUCACAUGGUAAAGAAAUAGUUGAAGUGGAAGAUACUUCUAGUACAUCCAGAGAGUUAAUCGUAUAUGUAAGGAAAAGGAAAAAGAAUCAAAAGCCAACAUAAUGAAGAUAUCCAUUUCUUGUUUAAGUGAUGGAUAUAGUUUUCACAUUGUUUAUGGUGUGCAAUAAUAAGUUGUAUUUUUUGAGUGAUGAAAAUUUAUACGGGUAUGUAGUCAUGAACCUUGUAAGAUGUUCUUGGGGUCAUAAGAGUUUUAUCUGAUCCUGCGAGACGAUAAUUUAAUAACAUUACAAGCAAAAUAUAUCCAUUGAAGUAAUCGUACUUUAAAGAUGCUAUGGAGAGAUUAU
Arabidopsis thaliana (thale cress) is the source of this 1243-nucleotide long non-coding RNA. RefSeq annotates it as other RNA. The transcript is spliced from 4 exons. The record is from RefSeq. Lineage: Eukaryota; Viridiplantae; Streptophyta; Magnoliopsida; Brassicales; Brassicaceae.